GGCCGUGGCCGUUUCCUGUGGUGGUCCAGGGAAGAGCUAGGUGGGGGCCAUGGCUGAGGAGAAGGCAAAGCAUCCGUGCUGAGACAAUGGCUCAGCAGCCUGUCAGCAAUUGCUGCAGAUGGUCCAAGGUUUUUCAAUAUAGAGCUCACACUGGUUUCAUAUGUGAUGAGGAGACAAGGAAACAGUGGAGAACAGCAGCAGUUGUUAUGAUGCAGAUAAGCAAGAAAGAAAAAUUAAGGAUGGAAAGACGGAGCAGUUUCUAAAAAAUGAGGUAAGGAAUUCUCUAUAAAAGUGUAAAGCGUAUAAAUAAUCGUGCCAAAUAGUUUAUCCUGCCCUUCCUAGUAUUUCUGAGAAUUUCUUCUAUAUGUGUCUAGGACAUAUAAACACACAAUACAUAAUCCCUACUAACCCCCACUCACACAAUAAAUCUCCUUUUGAGCAAAAUUGCUGUUACUCU
Molecule: long non-coding RNA, 457 nt
Filed under: Junco hyemalis (dark-eyed junco)
Lineage: Eukaryota; Metazoa; Chordata; Aves; Passeriformes; Passerellidae
Description: lncRNA (ENSJHYG00000003776.1)
Source: RNAcentral